CGGCCGGGGAGGCGGUGCUGCAGUACUCCGUGGAGGUGCAGGUUCCCCCGCAGCUCCUGGUGGCCGAAGGCCUGGGCCAGGUGACCGCCCUGGUGGGACAGCCCUUGGACCUUCUCUGCCAGGCCUCAGGCUCCCCGAUGCCUACCAUCCAGUGCGUAUGG
Molecule: long non-coding RNA, 161 nt
Filed under: Ictidomys tridecemlineatus (thirteen-lined ground squirrel)
Lineage: Eukaryota; Metazoa; Chordata; Mammalia; Rodentia; Sciuridae
Description: lncRNA (ENSSTOG00000031391.1)
Source: RNAcentral